AAUGAACAUCUCACAGGCAGCUCUCAGGGGCAUGCCCCUGAUGUCACCAGCCUGUUGGACUAAGGAAUCAUAAUACCGUCUCCCUGCUCUCACCCAUAGUUCGAGAAGGACUGACAGGGAAUGUGAAUACAUUUUUCUCACCUCCUCCGCAAGAUCACAAUGGAAAACUGGAAAGAGAAAUAGCAGCCAUGGCGUUGCUGAGACAAGUUGCAGCCA
This is a long non-coding RNA of Cyprinodon tularosa, 216 nucleotides long. RefSeq lists it as uncharacterized. The transcript has 3 exons. Lineage: Eukaryota; Metazoa; Chordata; Actinopteri; Cyprinodontiformes; Cyprinodontidae. The record is from RefSeq and is a predicted model, not a curated record.